Molecule: ribosomal RNA, 301 nt
Filed under: uncultured bacterium
Lineage: Bacteria
Description: partial 16S ribosomal RNA
Rfam family: Bacterial small subunit ribosomal RNA
Source: RNAcentral
CAGCAGCCGCGGGAAUACGAAGGGGGCUAGCGUUGUUCGGAAUUACUGGGCGUAAAGCGCACGUAGGCGGCUUGGUAAGUUAGAGGUGAAAGCCCGGAGCUCAACUCCGGAAUUGCCUUUAAGACUGCCGAGCUAGUAGGUGAGAGAGGUAAGUGGAAUUCCGAGUGUAGAGGUGAAAUUCGUAGAUAUUCGGAAGAACACCAGUGGCGAAGGCGGCUUACUGGCUCAUUCUAGACGCUGAGGUGCGAAAGCGUGGGGAGCAAACAGGAUUAGAUACCCCCGUAGUCCCUGUCUCUUAUAA